CUCAUCUGUGGUGGAGACGCUUGUGAGCAUCCUGAGGCUCACAUGCAACCUGCCUUAGCAACUCCCAGUGAGGAUGUACUUCUUAACAUUUACCUCCACCGGAAAAGUCCUGAGAAAGAAAGACUUUGGGAACAGCCGAAAUCACACGUCCACCUGUGCACUGAUCACUGGGGCCAGAGAAAUGACCCAAGACUUUGAUUGAGUUGGGAUUCCCAGAGCCCAGGCUGGAAGUGAAUGGAGCUGGAGUUUGAGUCCAAAACUGAUGGUAGGGCUGGUAUCAAGUCCACAAAUGGAUUAUAGAAGAUUUGGGGCAAUCUUUUGGGAUUAUUGUAAAAGAGACUUUGUAACAUUGAUCUCUAUUUUCAUCACCCAUCUUGGGCCUGAACAAACUUCCCCUCCUUUGGAGAUAGGCACUGCUAACCUAUUUUGCAGAUGAACAAACUGAAGCAGAGGACAGUACUCCCAGGGCAUGGAGAAAGUUGUGGUGAAAUUUAGAUUAAUGGUCAAGGUUGACUGUAAUUGAGAAGGAAGGUGAGGGGGAACCACAAAAUCGGUCAGCUUUUGGCUUGCUCUGACAAUCAUUCAGGCGUUACCUUUAUUUUUUCCUUCUGGCUCAACAGAAUUCCUUGGUAUCUCAGUCAAGCAAUACCUAAAUGCUCAGUCAGCACUCGCACUAAAUACAUAUUCCCUGGACCUCACCCCCAAGUGUCCUAUUCAGCUACAAGGGACUAAAUGGAAGCUAAUCGCUUGUCUGAGACCAGGGGAGCCAGCACUUCACUUCUAAUGAUAGGUUUGCUGUCGGCAAGGGGUGAAUGUUUACCUUGGGGAGCUUCUAGUCUUUCCCAAGUAUAGGUGUCCCUUCUUCUUGAGCAGCUGCCAGGUGCUCAGUAGCCUUGGGAGCCCUUCAGAUAAAUAACACCUGAGGUUACUUUGCCUCAACUGCGGCAUGUGGAGGCAUAAACCUCAGGUAUCUGGGUGUGGGCCUGCCUUAGUCAUAGUGAGACUAGAGAGAAUGUUCCAUUAAAUCACACCGAGUUACA
This is a long non-coding RNA of Choloepus didactylus (southern two-toed sloth), 1040 nucleotides long. RefSeq lists it as uncharacterized. NCBI's taxonomy places the organism in Eukaryota, Metazoa, Chordata, Mammalia, Pilosa, Megalonychidae. The transcript is spliced from 3 exons. The record is from RefSeq and is a predicted model, not a curated record.